Molecule: ribosomal RNA, 497 nt
Filed under: uncultured bacterium
Lineage: Bacteria
Description: partial 16S ribosomal RNA
Rfam family: Bacterial small subunit ribosomal RNA
Source: RNAcentral
GAUGAACGCUGGCGGCGUGCCUAAUACAUGCAAGUCGAGCGAACGGACGAGAAGCUUACUUCUCUGAUGUUAGCGGCGGACGGGUGAGUAACACGUGGAUAACCUACCUAUAAGACUGGGAUAACUUCGGGAAACCGGAGCUAAUACCGGAUAAUAUUUUGAACCGCAUGGUUCAAUAGUGAAAGACGGUCUUGCUGUCACUUAUAGAUGGAUCCGCGCUGCAUUAGCUAGUUGGUAAGGUAACGGCUUACCAAGGCAACGAUGCAUAGCCGACCUGAGAGGGUGAUCGGCCACACUGGAACUGAGACACGGUCCAGACUCCUACGGGAGGCAGCAGUAGGGAAUCUUCCGCAAUGGGCGGAAGCCUGACGGAGCAACGCCGCGUGAGUGAUGAAGGUCUUCGGAUCGUAAAACUCUGUUAUUAGGGAAGAACAUAUGUGUAAGUAACUGUGCACAUCUUGACGGUACCUAAUCAGAAAGCCACGGCUAACUACGUG